RNAcentral lists this unclassified non-coding RNA (252 nucleotides) under Hevea brasiliensis (rubber tree). The record is from RNAcentral. Lineage: Eukaryota; Viridiplantae; Streptophyta; Magnoliopsida; Malpighiales; Euphorbiaceae.
GCAUGAUUCAUGACUUUAGGUGGAGCAGUAGUUCUUUUUCUUCCUUUUAAAUGUCACAUGAAGCUAUUUCCUUAAGGCUUCUGUUGUUAGGAAAACAUAUCCUUGAACACACACAUGCAGAUUAACAAAUAGAUAGAGAAAAGCGAACAUAAGAACUUCUUGUGGUUCAGCAAAUGUGCUUAUAUCCACGGACAACUGCCUGCAUUUUCAGGAAGAACAUUAUAACAUUAUUUAUAUUGACCUAAUCCUUAU